Molecule: ribosomal RNA, 599 nt
Filed under: Collophorina badensis
Lineage: Eukaryota; Fungi; Ascomycota; Leotiomycetes; Phacidiales
Description: partial large subunit ribosomal RNA
Rfam family: Eukaryotic large subunit ribosomal RNA
Source: RNAcentral
GCGGAGGAAAAGAAACCAACAGGGAUUGCCUCAGUAACGGCGAGUGAAGCGGCAUCAGCUCAAAUUUGAAAUCUGGUCUCACGAUCCGAGUUGUAAUUUGUAGAGAAUGCUUCGGGCGAGGUCCGGUCUAAGUUCCUUGGAACAGGACGUCGUAGAGGGUGAGAAUCCCGUAUGCGACCGGGUGCCUCCGCCCAUGUGAAGCUUCUUCGACGAGUCGAGUUGUUUGGGAAUGCAGCUCAAAAUGGGUGGUAAAUUUCAUCUAAAGCUAAAUACUGGCCAGAGACCGAUAGCGCACAAGUAGAGUGAUCGAAAGAUGAAAAGCACUUUGGAAAGAGAGUUAAACAGUACGUGAAAUUGUUGAAAGGGAAGCGCUUGCAACCAGACUUGCGCGUAGCCGAUCAUCCGGUGUUCUCACCGGUGCACUCGGUUGCGCUCAGGCCAGCAUCGGUUUCGGUGGUUGGAUAAAGGCCCGGGGAAUGUAGCUCCUCUCGGGGAGUGUUAUAGCCCUGGGUGCAAUGCAGCCUACCGGGACCGAGGACCGCGCUUCGGCUAGGAUGCUGGCGUAAUGGUUGUAAGCGACCCGUCUUGAAACACGGACC